UACGAAGGGAGCUAGCGUUGUUCGGAAUCACUGGGCGUAAAGCGCACGUAGGCGGAUGUGUCAGUCAGGGGUGAAAUCCCGGAGCUCAACUUCGGAACUGCCUUUGAUACAGCACGUCUUGAGUCCGAUAGAGGUGGGUGGAAUUCCUAGUGUAGAGGUGAAAUUCGUAGAUAUUAGGAAGAACACCGGCGGCGAAGGCGGCCCACUGGAUCGGUACUGACGCUGAGGUGCGAAAGCGUGGGGAGCAAACAGG
This 253-nucleotide ribosomal RNA is filed under the name uncultured bacterium. RNAcentral describes it as "partial 16S ribosomal RNA". It matches the Rfam family "Bacterial small subunit ribosomal RNA", at positions 524 to 776 of the family's 1533-position model. The record is from RNAcentral.